ACAGCAACCGGUCCAGGCAUUGAGGUUAAAUGCAGCUCUUCACAGCUGGAGUGCUCCGCGAUUCCACCCCGGGGACGUUAGUGCUUGUAUACCGUCUGUUGCUUUGCUUGGGAUGAGGGACCCGAGAAGUCGUCCCACACAGCGAAGCGCCAGGUCCGGUUCCCAGGAGGACAGAGAGGGCUCCUUAAAAGCCUUCCCACCAAGGACUCCUUUGCAAGUCCUGGAGUGCUUUCCCAGGGGGAGCUCAGACCUGCCGCAAGCCACUCUGUUCUGACCUGCCUCUACCCGGUGCGGCUCACCCNGGGGCCGCCAAGCCUCCGUUCCCCUUCUCUUCCCCCCGUUCGGCCGCUGACCUGCACCGCGGGCAGCUGGAAGGCCGGGGUCCCACAGCGCAGAGAGGCCCGCUUUCUGCGCCGCGGCCUGAGCUCACCCACCUGAUGCUCCUUCACCACUUCGCUGAGGCAGGGGUACCGCUCCGAGAUCCAUCGGUAAAACUUGGGGACUCCCAUUUUGACCGUCGACACUAAUUCCAGUCGGUGCAGAAACGAAACCAAACGCCCCGCCCGGGCCUCCGCCGCCGCCUCCGGCCGUCGCUCGGAGGAUGACAACACAAGGUCCGCCAGACCAUAGAGCAAACCGUGGGCCUAGAGGGGCAGGACGACGCNGGUGGGCGGUGGGUCCUGUCUAUCCCGCUGCCUCGCUCUUCCAAACUCGUUGGUGACAGCGCAAGAGGUGUGAUCUGCGCAUUAGCUGAAUCUACAGACUUUUUCAUCUUCCUGUGAUAGCUGAUAGCAACCCAAAGAUGAUAGGUCACCGAAAUCGAAAUUACCUUCUAAUCUUCCUCCAGAAUUGUAAAAGGAGAAAAUUUUUGAUGUUCUUAAAGAUGGAUCCAUUAGCCUUAAUUUACUCUCAAGGACCCACUCUGGUACUAUUUGUUGUAGCUGUUAUUUAGUUGCUAGGACUUGAAAUCAGGACCUAGAACAUCCAGGGUAAGUACUCUACUACUGAACAGUCUACUCCUAGAUUGACUUUUGCUUUAACCUAGAUCAGACUUAAAUAUACUGUCAAAUUUAGAAAUGUUAAACAACUCCAAUUUCAUGGAAGUAAGUCUCUGUAAAAUGAACUGAUCUGCCCAUUUCACAUAGCUAGUAACUAACUCACGAUUCAAGUUCAUACCUUCCAUG
RNAcentral lists this long non-coding RNA (1184 nucleotides) under Mus caroli (Ryukyu mouse). Its description in RNAcentral is "predicted gene, 16794 (MGP_CAROLIEiJ_G0004224.1)". Lineage: Eukaryota; Metazoa; Chordata; Mammalia; Rodentia; Muridae. The record is from RNAcentral.